AAGACGGCCCUACGGGUUGUAAACUGCUUUUAUACGGGAAUAAACCUACUUACGUGUAAGUAGCUGAAUGUACUGUAAGAAUAAGGAUCGGCUAACUCCGUGC
RNAcentral lists this ribosomal RNA (103 nucleotides) under uncultured bacterium. RNAcentral's name for it is "partial 16S ribosomal RNA". The record is from RNAcentral.